This is a non-coding RNA of Paramuricea clavata, 668 nucleotides long. The record is from the annotation of a GenBank genome assembly. Lineage: Eukaryota; Metazoa; Cnidaria; Anthozoa; Malacalcyonacea; Plexauridae.
UUCUUAGAAUGACCCAAAAAUUACCCAUACCAAAAAUUAUAUUUUGGGGUUAUAGUUACGUAGGAUCUUAGCUGAAUUAACCCUUUUUUAUUACUGGCGUUGUGCGACUUUACUAUAUACUUAAGUCUGAUUUGUAUAGGAAUCCGUGAAUUAAGACACCAGAGUCACCCUUGUAUGUAGGGUUCAUCGUUAAGCCACCAACUCAGUGCCAUACAAACUACAGUCAAUAGUAUACUGGUCAAAACUAAUUUGAGCCAAUAAUAACUGAGCUAUGCUUCAGUUUACUAUUCAAUAAACAUACUUACCCAACUAAUGACGUCCAUGUUGUGCUGAAUCAGCAAUUUAUAUUUUGCACAUUUUUGCGUAUCACUUCGGAACCAGAUGAGAUAGAAUAGAGCAGUAAAUGGCCAAUCGGCUUAUUUUUUUAUGCUCUUUCAGAUAAAGCAAUAAAAUUUUUUAUUGCCAAUACCCUUUAAGUAUAAAGUCUCAAAAUUCAAAUAGUUUUACCCAGCUUCGAUUUCAGUUAUUAUGACCUGGAAUUCUGUUAGUAUAUUUUAGAAGAGCUAAACUUGAAUUUGGUGUCUUGGUAUAGAGUACGUCGAUAGACAUGUAAUAAAUUAGUCGAAACUGCAUGUACAGUACUGUAUAGUUAGUGUUUUAAUAUUUUA